This 493-nucleotide ribosomal RNA is filed under the name uncultured bacterium. Its description in RNAcentral is "bacterial SSU rRNA". It matches the Rfam family "Bacterial small subunit ribosomal RNA", at positions 903 to 1397 of the family's 1533-position model. The record is from RNAcentral.
AAAUGAAUAGACGGGGGCCCGCACAAGCGGCGGAGCAUGCGGAUUAAUUCGAUGCAACGCGAAGAACCUUACCAAGGCUUGACAUAUACCGGAAACGGCCAGAGAUGGUCGCCCCCUUGUGGUCGGUAUACAGGUGGUGCAUGGUUGUCGUCAGCUCGUGUCGUGAGAUGUUGGGUUAAGUCCCGCAACGAGCGCAACCCUCGUUCUAUGUUGCCAGCGGUUCGGCCGGGGACUCAUAGGAGACUGCCGGGGUCAACUCGGAGGAAGGUGGGGAUGACGUCAAAUCAUCAUGCCCCUUAUGUCUUGGGCUUCACGCAUGCUACAAUGGCCGGUACAAAGGGCUGCGAUGCCGUAAGGCGGAGCGAAUCCCAAAAAGCCGGUCUCAGUUCGGAUUGAGGUCUGCAACUCGACCUCAUGAAGUCGGAGUCGCUAGUAAUCGCAGAUCAGCAACGCUGCGGUGAAUACGUUCCCGGGCCUUGUACACACCGCCCGU